RNAcentral lists this ribosomal RNA (406 nucleotides) under uncultured bacterium. Its description in RNAcentral is "partial 16S ribosomal RNA". It matches the Rfam family "Bacterial small subunit ribosomal RNA", at positions 30 to 526 of the family's 1533-position model. The record is from RNAcentral.
AUUGAACGCUGGCGGCAGGCCUAACACAUGCAAGUCGAACGAGUGGCGGACGGGUGAGUAAUGUCUGGGAACCUGCCCGAUGGAGGGGGCUAACUACUGGAAACGGUAGCUAAUACCGCAUACCAUCGGAUGUGCCCAGAUUGGAUUAGCUAGUAGGUGGGGUAACGGCUCACCUAGGCGACGCACCCUAGCUGGUGUGAGAGGGUGACCAGCCACACUGGAACUGAGACACGGUCCAGACUCCUACGGGAGGCAGCAGUGGGGAAUAUUGCGCAAUGGGCGCAAGCCUGAUGCAGCCAUGCCGCGUGUAUGAAGAAGGCCUUCGGGUUGUAAAGUUCUUUCAGCGGGGAGGCGUUACUCGCAGAAAAAGCACCGGCUAACUCCGUGCCAGCAGCCGCGGUAAUUC